Molecule: ribosomal RNA, 468 nt
Filed under: Helina fratercula
Lineage: Eukaryota; Metazoa; Arthropoda; Insecta; Diptera; Muscidae
Description: partial 16S ribosomal RNA
Rfam family: Bacterial large subunit ribosomal RNA (bases 342-468)
Source: RNAcentral
UUUAAAUGGCCGCAGUAUACUAACUGUGCAAAGGUAGCAUAAUCAUUAGUUUUUUAAUUGAAAGCUGGUAUGAAUGGUUGGACGAGAUAUUAACUGUUUCAUAAAAAUUUACAAUAGAAUUUUAUUUUUUAGUUAAAAAGCUAAAAUUAUUUUAAAAGACGAGAAGACCCUAUAAAUCUUUAUAUUUAUAUUAUUAUUAUUUUAUAGAUAAUUUUUGUAAUAAUAAUUUUUAAUAUUUUAUUGGGGUGAUAUUAAAAUUUAAUAAACUUUUAAUUAAUAUUUUCAUUAAUUUAUGAUUUAUUGAUCCAUUAUUAAUGAUUAAAAAAUUAAGUUACUUUAGGGAUAACAGCGUAAUUUUUUUGGAGAGUUCAUAUCGAUAAAAAAGAUUGCGACCUCGAUGUUGGAUUAAGAUAUAAUUUUAGGUGUAGUAGCUUAAACUUUAAGUCUGUUCGACUUUUAAUUUCUUAC